AUUGAACGCUGGCGGCAUGCCUUACACAUGCNNGUCGAACGGUAACGGGGAGCUUGCUCCGCUGACGAGUGGCGAACGGGUGAGUAAUGUAUCGGAACGUACCAUUCAGUGGGGGAUAACGUAGCGAAAGUUACGCUAAUACCGCAUAUUCUGUGCGCAGGAAAGCAGGGGCUCGCAAGACCUUGCGCUGAUUGAGCGGCCGAUAUCAGAUUAGCUAGUUGGUGAGGUAAAAGCUCACCAAGGCGACGAUCUGUAGCGGGUCUGAGAGGAUGAUCCGCCACACUGGAACUGAGACACGGUCCAGACUCCUACGGGAGGCAGCAGUGGGGAAUUUUGGACAAUGGGGGCAACCCUGAUCCAGCCAUGCCGCGUGAGUGAAGAAGGCCUUCGGGUUGCAAAGCUCUUUCAGCCGGGAAGAAAAUGCAUGGGUUAAUACCCUGUGCAGAUGACGGUACCGGAAUAAGAAGCACCGGCUAACUACGUGCCAGCAGCCGCGGUAAUACGUAGGGUGCGAGCGUUAAUCGGAAUUACUGGGCGUAAAGCGUGCGCAGGCGGUUUUGUAAGACAGGCGUGAAAUCCCCGGGCUUAACCUGGGAACUGCGUUUGUGACUGCAAGGCUAGAGUACGGCAGAGGGGGGUGGAAUUCCACGUGUAGCAGUGAAAUGCGUAGAGAUGUGGAGGAACACCAAUGGCGAAGGCAGCCCCCUGGGUCGAUACUGACGCUCAUGCCACGAAAGCGUGGGUAGCAAACAGGAUUAGAUACCCUGGUAGUCCACGCCCUAAACGAUGUCAACUAGGUGUUGGGAGGGUAAAACCUUUUAGUACCGUAGCUAACGCGAGAAGUUGACCGCCUGGGGAGUACGGCCGCAAGGUUAAAACUCAAAGGAAUUGACGGGGACCCGCACAAGCGGUGGAUGAUGUGGAUUAAUUCGAUGCAACGCGAAAAACCUUACCUACCCUUGACAUGUCAGGAACUCGCCAGAGAUGGCUUGGUGCUCGAAAGAGAACCUGAACACAGGUGCUGCAUGGCUGUCGUCAGCUCGUGUCGUGAGAUGUUGGGUUAAGUCCCGCAACGAGCGCAACCCUUGUCGUUAAUUGCCAUCAUUGAGUUGGGCACUUUAACGAGACUGCCGGUGACAAACCGGAGGAAGGUGGGGAUGACGUCAAGUCCUCAUGGCCCUUAUGGGUAGGGCUUCACACGUCAUACAAUGGUCGGUACAAAGGGUCGCCAACCCGCGAGGGGGAGCCAAUCCCAUAAAGCCGAUCGUAGUCCGGAUUGCAGGCUGCAACUCGCCUGCAUGAAGUCGGAAUCGCUAGUAAUCGUGGAUCAGCAUGUCACGGUGAAUACGUUCCCGGG
This 1357-nucleotide ribosomal RNA is filed under the name uncultured soil bacterium. RNAcentral describes it as "bacterial SSU rRNA". It matches the Rfam family "Bacterial small subunit ribosomal RNA", at positions 28 to 1378 of the family's 1533-position model. The record is from RNAcentral.